GACGAACGCUGGCGGCGUGCCUAAUACAUGCAAGUCGAACGAAGCUUUCUUUCACCGAAUGCUUGCAUUCACCGAAAGAAGCUUAGUGGCGAACGGGUGAGUAACACGUAGGCAACCUGCCCAAAAGAGGGGGAUAACACUUGGAAACAGGUGCUAAUACCGCAUAACCAUGGACAUCGCAUGAUGUUCAUGUAAAAGACGGCUUUUGCUGUCACUUUUGGAUGGGCCUGCGGCGUAUUAACUUGUUGGUGGGGUAACGGCCUACCAAGGUGAUGAUACGUAGCCGAACUGAGAGGUUGAUCGGCCACAUUGGGACUGAGACACGGCCCAAAACUCCUACGGGAGGCAGCAGUAGGGAAUCUUCCACAAUGGACGAAAGUCUGAUGGAGCAACGCCGCGUGAAUGAAGAAGGCCUUCGGGUCGGUAAAAUUACUGUUGUCAGAGAAGAACGUGCGUGAGAGUAACUAGUUCACGUAUUGACGGUAUCUGACCAGAAAG
Molecule: ribosomal RNA, 498 nt
Filed under: uncultured bacterium
Lineage: Bacteria
Description: bacterial SSU rRNA
Rfam family: Bacterial small subunit ribosomal RNA
Source: RNAcentral